GACGAACGCUGGCGGCGUGCUUAACACAUGCAAGUCGAACGGAAAGGCCCUGCUUUUGUGGGGUGCUCGAGUGGCGAACGGGUGAGUAACACGUGAGUAACCUGCCCUUGCCUUUGGGAUAACUUCAGGCAACUGGGGCUAAUACCGGAUAGGAGCUCCUGCUGCAUGGUGGGGGUUGGAAAGUUUCGGCGGUUGGGGAUGGACUCGCGGCUUAUCAGCUUGUUGGUGGGGUAGUGGCUUACCAAGGCUUUGACGGGUAGCCGGCCUGGCAGGGUGACCGGCCACAUUGGGACUGAGGUACGGCCCAGACUCCUACGGGAGGCAGCAGUGGGGAAUAUUGCACAAUGGGCGGAAGCCUGAUGCAGCAACGCCGCGUGCGGGAUGACGGCCUUCGGGUUGUAAACCGCUUUCGCCUGUGACGAAGCGUGAGUGACGGUAAUGGGUAAAGAAGCACCGGCUAACUACGUG
Molecule: ribosomal RNA, 468 nt
Filed under: uncultured bacterium
Lineage: Bacteria
Description: partial 16S ribosomal RNA
Rfam family: Bacterial small subunit ribosomal RNA
Source: RNAcentral